GUGCCAGCCGCCGCGGUAAUACGUAGGGUGCGAGCGCUAUCCGGAAUCAUUGGGCGUAAAGAGCUCGUAGGCGGUUCAGCAAGUCGGCUGUGAAAGUCCGAGGCUCAACCUCGGAACUGCAGUCGAUACUGCUGUGACUCGAGUCCGGUAGAGGAGAAUGGAAUUCCCGGUGUAGCGGUGAAAUGCGCAGAUAUCGGGAGGAACACCAGUAGCGAAGGCGGUUCUCUGGGCCGGUACUGACGCUGAGGAGCGAAAGCAUGGGUAGCAAACAGGAUUAGAUACCCUGGUAGUCCAUGCCGUAAACGUUGGACACUAGGUGUGGCGUUCCGAUCAACGGGUGCCGUGCCGAGGCUAACGCAUUAAGUGUCCCGCCUGGGGAGUACGGCCGCAAGGCUAAAACUCAAAGGAAUUGACGGGUCCCCGCACAAGCGGCGGAGCAUGCGGCUUAAUUCGAUGCAACCCGAAGAACCUUACCUGGGUUUGACAUCACGGGAAAAGCUGUAGAAAUACAGUGUCCGUAAGGGCCCGUGACAGGUGGUGCAUGGCUGUCGUCAGCUCGUGUCGUGAGAUGUUGGGUUAAGUCCCGCAACGAGCGCAACCCUUAUCCUACGUUGCCAGCGGUUCGGCCGGGGACUCAUAGGAGACUGCCGAGGAUAACUCGGAGGAAGGUGAGGACGACGUCAAGUCAUCAUGCCCCUUAUAUCCAGGGCUGCACGCAUGCUACAAUGGUCGGUACAACGGGCAGCAACCCCGCGAGGGUGAGCGAAUCCCAUAAAGCCGGCCUCAGUUCGGAUUGGAGUCUGCAACUCGACUCCAUGAAGUCGGAGUCGCUAGUAAUCGCGGAUCAGCAAAGCCGCGGUGAAUGCGUUCUCGGGGAUUGCACACACCGCCCGUC
Molecule: ribosomal RNA, 895 nt
Filed under: uncultured bacterium
Lineage: Bacteria
Description: bacterial SSU rRNA
Rfam family: Bacterial small subunit ribosomal RNA
Source: RNAcentral